RNAcentral lists this transfer RNA (73 nucleotides) under Ailuropoda melanoleuca (giant panda). It matches the Rfam family "tRNA". From Rfam's summary of the family: Transfer RNA (tRNA) molecules are approximately 80 nucleotides in length. Their secondary structure includes four short double-helical elements and three loops (D, anti-codon, and T loops). Further hydrogen bonds mediate the characteristic L-shaped molecular structure. tRNAs have two regions of fundamental functional importance: the anti-codon, which is responsible for specific mRNA codon recognition, and the 3' end, to which the tRNAs corresponding amino acid is attached (by aminoacyl-tRNA synthetases). tRNAs cope with the degeneracy of the genetic code in two manners: having more than one tRNA (with a specific anti-codon) for a particular amino acid; and 'wobble' base-pairing, i.e. permitting non-standard base-pairing at the 3rd anti-codon position. Lineage: Eukaryota; Metazoa; Chordata; Mammalia; Carnivora; Ursidae. The record is from Rfam by way of RNAcentral.
GCCUGGCUGGCUCUGUCGGUAGAGCACGUGACUCUUGAUCUCAGUGUUGUGAGUUCGAGCCCCACACUGGGUG